GAUGAACGCUGGCGGCGUGCCUAAUACAUGCAAGUCGAGCGAACGGACGAGAAGCUUGCUUCUCUGAUGUUAGCGGCGGACGGGUGAGUAACACGUGGAUAACCUACCUAUAAGACUGGGAUAACUUCGGGAAACCGGAGCUAAUACCGGAUAAUAUUUUGAACCGCAUGGUUCAAAAGUGAAAGACGGUCUUGCUGUCACUUAUAGAUGGAUCCGCGCUGCAUUAGCUAGUUGGUAAGGUAACGGCUUACCAAGGCAACGAUGCAUAGCCGACCUGAGAGGGGGAUCGCCCACACUGGACCUGAGACACGUCCCAAACUCUAAGGGGAGCCAGCAGUAGGAAAUCUUCCGAAAUGGGCGAAACCCUGAGGGAGAAACGCGGCGGGAGUGAUGAAGGCUUUCGAAUCGUAAAACUCUGUUAUAAGGAAAGAAAAAAUGUGUAAGUAACGGUGAACACUUGGACGGUACUAAUCAGAAAGCCACGGCUAACUACGUG
This 496-nucleotide ribosomal RNA is filed under the name uncultured bacterium. Its description in RNAcentral is "partial 16S ribosomal RNA". It matches the Rfam family "Bacterial small subunit ribosomal RNA", at positions 28 to 507 of the family's 1533-position model. The record is from RNAcentral.